Pelodiscus sinensis (Chinese soft-shelled turtle) is the source of this 626-nucleotide long non-coding RNA. RefSeq lists it as uncharacterized. NCBI's taxonomy places the organism in Eukaryota, Metazoa, Chordata, Testudines, Trionychidae. The record is from RefSeq and is a predicted model, not a curated record.
GUUGUAUGCAGCAUUCCAAACAUUACUGUGCAGUCAGCACCAUUCCAAAGAGCAGCAGCAGCAGCAGCAGCAAGUGCAAGGGCAGGCUCUUGCCAUCAUGAUUCAUGCUGACUAUGAAGGCAUAGAGAUUAAGGCCUGAAAGCACCACUAGAUCAUCUACUGUGACCUCCUGUAUAUCCCUGGCAACCAACACCACCCAGCACCUGCGCAUUAAAGUGAAUAACAAAAUGAGACCAAAGUAUUACAGCCCACAAGAGACUAGGCUGGUUUGUGCCACAGGCAGAGAAUAGAUAAGACCUAGAUGCACCAGCAUUCAAGAACCCUGCAAUGUCAGGGAAAUGCGUAAGUGAGAAAUACACAGUUAAUCCUCGUAACUGACUGCACCCACACACUGCAAAUGAAGGUCUCUCAGGAAGGAGAACUUUGUAGCAGGACCUGUGUUCCAUCCAGCAGAUAUUUUACUUCAAGCGGUGAACAAUAGCAUAUUUAGCCACAUAUUAGCAUACAAAGGAGGAUGUCUCCACUGUCAGCUGAAUUUAUACACUCUAGCACAAGGAUGUUCCCUAGAUAUUGUAUUUUAACAGCAUGAAUGUCGGAAUAGCAUAUUAAUAAAGCAUUGCAUGAUC